RNAcentral lists this transfer RNA (85 nucleotides) under Rhodocyclaceae bacterium. RNAcentral's name for it is "tRNA-Leu". It matches the Rfam family "tRNA". Rfam says of the family: Transfer RNA (tRNA) molecules are approximately 80 nucleotides in length. Their secondary structure includes four short double-helical elements and three loops (D, anti-codon, and T loops). The record is from RNAcentral. RNAcentral also lists the same sequence under 2 other names. Lineage: Bacteria; Pseudomonadati; Pseudomonadota; Betaproteobacteria; Rhodocyclales; Rhodocyclaceae.
GCGAGGGUGGCGGAAUUGGUAGACGCACUGGAUUUAGGUUCCAGCGGGGCAACCUGUGCGGGUUCGAGUCCCGCCCUUCGCACCA